This 991-nucleotide ribosomal RNA is filed under the name uncultured marine bacterium. RNAcentral describes it as "bacterial SSU rRNA". It matches the Rfam family "Bacterial small subunit ribosomal RNA", at positions 55 to 1048 of the family's 1533-position model. The record is from RNAcentral.
AUGCAAGUCGAGGGGCAGCAUUUCUAGCUUGCUAGAAGAUGGCGACCGGCGGACGGGUGCGUAACGCGUAUGCAACUUGCCUAUAACUUAGGGAUAACUUGGAGAAAUCCUUGCUAAUAUCUAAUGUGAUCUAAGAUUCGCAUGUUUUUUUGAUUAAAGAAUUUCGGUUAUAGAUAGGCAUGCGUCCUAUUAGCUAGUUGGUAAGGUAACGGCUUACCAAGGCGACGAUAGGUAGGGGGCCUGAGAGGGUGAUCCCCCACACUGGUACUGAGACACGGACCAGACUCCUACGGGAGGCAGCAGUGAGGAAUAUUGGUCAAUGGAGGCAACUCUGAACCAGCCAUCCCGCGUGAAGGAUGACGGCCCUAGAGGUUGUAAACUUCUUUUAUAUAGGAAUAAACAUAUGUACGUGUACGUAUUUGAAUGUACUAUAUGAAUAAGCAUCGGCUAACUCCGUGCCAGCAGCCGCGGUAAUACGGAGGAUGCAAGCGUUAUCCGGAUUUAUUGGGUUUAAAGGGUCCGCAGGCGGACCAGUCAGUCAGUGGUGAAAUCCCAUCGCUCAACGAUGGAACUGCCAUUGAUACUGCUGGUCUUGAGUCUAGUUGACGUAGGCGGAAUAUGACAUGUAGCGGUGAAAUGCAUAGAUAUGUCAUAGAACACCAAUUGCGAAGGCAGCUUACGAAACUACGACUGACGCUCAUGGACGAAAGCGUGGGUAGCGAACAGGAUUAGAUACCCUGGUAGUCCACGCCGUAAACGAUGAUCACUCGAUGUCAGCGAUAUACUGUUGGUGUCUUAGCGAAAGUUUUAAGUGAUCCACCUGGGGAGUACGUUCGCAAGAAUGAAACUCAAAGGAAUUGACGGGGGCCCGCACAGCGGUGGAGCAUGUGGUUUAAUUCGAUGAUACGCGAGGAACCUUACCUGGGCUUAAAUGUAGAGUGCUUUAGAUGGAAACAUCUUUUCUUCGGACGCUCUACAAGGUGCUGCAUGG